Long non-coding RNA from Varroa destructor (honeybee mite), 3039 nucleotides. Lineage: Eukaryota; Metazoa; Arthropoda; Arachnida; Mesostigmata; Varroidae. The record is from RefSeq and is a predicted model, not a curated record.
CUUGCCAUUGGGCACUUGAAACGUGGACUUAUCGAUGGAGAAGUUCGAUUGAUGCACUCAUACAGUGGCCGCUCUGUUCAUGCGACUUAACGCCAUAGGAUACUUCUACUUUAGAAGCUCUGUAGCAUUUGGCCCUCUGCAACCCGGGAGUUAGAAGAGUGUAUUUUCAGAAAUUCAAGGUAGUUAUUGAAAAUUGCUCCUGAUUUAUGGCAAAAAGUUAGAAUAAAAUUAGGUACUUUGUUCGCCUGCACGAGAUAUUGUCUAAAAUUCAGUGGCAAGCAUUGCCAUGAGUAUUGAUACCGUCCAACAAAGUGGCAUCAUUCAUCAAGGUUCAAAAUGGAUAUAUUGAGAAUAGGUCAACCAGUACUACAAGCAAGUCAUGUAAUGAUUGAAUCAUUUCUAAAUGACUUAGAACCUACGAAAUUGUUAUUUCACAGACGCUGAAGGCUUUUGCUCAAUGUCUGUAAGCACAAAAUGGAUAACACUUGUUUAUUCUUAGGCUAAUUAUCUUGGGCGGUAGUGUUUGAUGCUGUGCGACCUACAGGCUAGUUGAGUGAAAGGAAAAGAACUCUAGACCGACUCCAGCCAGCGAUUUGUCCAGAGUAGGCAUAUCAUAUAGGUGUAAAAAGCAUUAUUAAAUACUAUAAGUAAUGAUCCAACGCACUCAAGUUGUCUCCUUUUGUGGGAUGCCGAUGUUGGCGAUCUAGAAUAAGAUAAGGAUCUAAGUUACGCCAUCUUCGACAACACCCGUUCCUAUUUCUCGUAUAAACAUCCCCUUCGUUCAGUUAACCUGCCUGCCGUAAAGACGUUGAGAUGUGGAAAGCUAAGAUAUCCUACGACAACUUCCCUAUUGAAUAAGCUUUUAUCUGAAUAAGCACAUUACGUUCAACAGUAAGUUUCCCCUUGAUUUUAUAAAGUGUUUCUGCAACCGUUGCCGACAGAAUGUCGUUUUUAUAGCUCCCUUCGAUCGAUGCAUUGACCAUACAACAGGUUCAUAUUUUGUGUAGUGGUUUGCUACUCGUACGUUUAAAGCCUGUGUUUAUAUAUGUGGGCGUAAGCUACCUAUCAGUUUACCGAUUUAGUGGCUCUCUCGCUUGCUCGUAUCGCAUAUUAAACGUAACAAUAUUGCAAGGGGUGAAUUGAUCGCGCACGAUGCAGAUCGAGUGAAUUUGUUAUUGUGGCGUCCUUAUACCCAUUGUAUAGCCAUGCAGAGGUCCAACAGACGCUGUUGAUGAUCUUGUCUGAUAUCACAAAGAACCAGCUGCAGAGGAAACCCAACGUCGCUGAUAACGUACCACUUCAAUAAAUGUGUCACAGCUCAUGUAAGAUGUUAUGCAGGCCACGAAGCAGCCUAUAGGACAAGCCAAACAGUAUCUGAAGACAUGGGAUGCAUAUAUAUAUAUACAUGGUAGGAAAGGUCAAUAUGACAUCUAUAAUCAUCUUCAUUCUUUGCAGAAUACACAACAGAUGUGAACAGAGAGUCAAUCAAAUAGAUUAACUUGCAACCGACUUGUCAGAUGACUGUUACGUUGUCUCGCUAAUAAACAGACUCCUGCGACUUUUCUUCCUUAUACGUUAGGAUAUAGCUUCACUCUAGAUAGAAUAGGUGGAAUGAAAAAUCAUGUAGAUACAUUGCACAUUCUUCCAUAGACGUCCAGCUUAAAUUUACUGCGUCUAUAGAAACAAAAGUACGGUAUGUUUUUGUCAGUACAUCACAUAUAGUUAAUGCAAUGUGCCAAUGGCCUGCAAAACAAGUUACUGCAGAGAUAAAAACAAUGCGUGAUGAUACCAGCAUUAAAUAAGUACUAGGUAAAAACAAGCUUGCCCUUCCGUCGAAAAGAAUUAAUCACAACUGUACUUCGACGCAGUGUAGAAUGGUAUACUUGCAGGCGAAUUUUCAUCUGUCUGUAUUAUAAUAGCUAGAUAGAUUUGAGAUUAAGCAACGUUGACCUAACAACCAAUAGUGGAUAACAAGCGUAUCCUUGAAAUUUAGUCCUCAGUUUAAUUAGAAUUGGACUAACUACCUUUUGAGCUGUCGUUUCAGAAACGCUUGUAUUCACGUGAGCCUAGUGUAUUUAAGGUACAACAACAGUCUACCACUCUUCUUGCUUCAUACCAUUCGUACCGGUGGCAGGUUUUAGAAGCAGUAUAAAGUCCCCCAGUGAACUCAACGAUCGUAUCUUAUCUUGCCUCGCUAAAAUGUGCCCGUGACUCAUCAUCUAAUAUGACGACGCGUUUUCGGAAGUCGUUUACGAUCCCCCCCGCCUGUCGUCGUCCCAUCUCACCCAUUUGCUUCCACAAAAGCGUUCGUCAGGGGCACGGACCGUUCGUCGAUAUCAUUUGACGUCAAAUCUGACCGCAACACACAAACAUACAUUAACGAGCUCAAGGAGUGUCUGUUCGACUGUCAUGACGUGAAAGGGUGACGGCGAUGAUAAUGAUUUGUGAGCGCCACCUCAUACAAAGCGACACCUCCAGGAUUUUGUUCGCGCUGUACCAGGUGCUGUCUCGUUCUCGAACAUUCGGCAGUACAAAGCAAGAUAAAUAGAGGAAUGGGGAUGAGCAAGACAUCCCCGAACUUACCCCUGAGGGCAUGGAACAGGACCAGAACGGUGCGGAAGGAGGGUAGAAGAGUGGUAUGUGUUCAGUCGUCACUGCUGCACUUGCUGUCAUCACCGCCACAGCCACAGCCACAGCCACUGCCUCUACUAUGACGGCAGUAGGGGCAUCGCUGGCGCUAUCCGAGGGCGAUAGCGGCACGUGCUUCGAAUGACACGGCAUGCUCAAAUAAUACAUUGCUCCAGAAGUCGUGGACUCAUGCUGAAUGUCAACUCCUAUUGCCCUGCACGAGGGCGUCAGCCCCAGCAGAAAACGCGGUAGCAGCAGACGACACAACCGUACUGGUGCACGCUCAAUCUUAGAGUUUGUUUAUGAAAACAACUAAUACGGGGGCGGCGACAAUGACAACAACAAAAAUACAACACAGCCCGCGUGAUGUCCAGUUAUGAAUGCAGUGAUGAUAACAUCUAGAACGGCUGU